CUGGCGGCGUGCUUAACACAUGCAAGUCGAGCGGUAAGGCCCUUCGGGGUACACGAGCGGCGAACGGGUGAGUAACACGUGAGCCACCUGCCCCUGACUCCGGGAUAAGCGGUGGAAACGCCGUCUAAUACCGGAUAUGACCUGUCACCUCAUGGUGGCGGGUGGAAAGUUUUAUCGGUCAGGGAUGGGCUCGCGGCCUAUCAGCUUGUUGGUGGGGUAAAGGCCUACCAAGGCGAUUACGGGUAGCCGGCCUGAGAGGGCAACCGGCCACACUGGGACUCAGACACGGCCCAGACUCCUGCGGGAGGCAGCAGUGGGGAAUAUUGCACAAUGGGCGAAAGCCUGAUGCAGCGACGCCGCGUGGGGGAUGACGGCCUUCGGGUUGUAAACCUCUUUUACCACCAACGCAGGCUCCGGGUUUUCUCGGGGUUGACGGUAGGUGGGGAAUAAGGACCGGCUAACUACGUGCCAGCAGCCGCGGUAAUACGUAGGGUCCGAGCGUUGUCCGGAAUUAUUGGGCGUAAAGAGCUCGUAGGCGGCAUGUCGCGUCUGCUGUGAAAGACCGGGGCUUAACUCCGGUUCUGCAGUGGAUACGGGCAUGCUAGAGGUAGGUAGGGGAAACUGGAAUUCCUGGUGUAGCGGUGAAAUGCGCAGAUAUCAGGAGGAACACCGGUGGCGAAGGCGGGUUUCUGGGCUUACCUGACGAUGAGGAGAGAAAGAAUGGGAGCGAACAGGAU
Molecule: ribosomal RNA, 737 nt
Filed under: uncultured Nocardiopsis sp.
Lineage: Bacteria; Bacillati; Actinomycetota; Actinomycetes; Streptosporangiales; Nocardiopsidaceae
Description: bacterial SSU rRNA
Rfam family: Bacterial small subunit ribosomal RNA
Source: RNAcentral